GUUGAUCCUGCCGGACCUGACUGCUAUCGGAUUGAUACUAAGCCAUGCGUGUCAUUGUAGCAAUACAAGGCAUACGGCUCAGUAACGCGUAGUCAACCUACCCUAUGGACGGGGAUAACCUCGGGAAACUGAGAAUAAUACCCGAUAGAACAUUAUUCCUGGAAUGGUUUAUGUUUCAAAUAAUUUAUUGCCGUAGGAUGGGACUGCGGCCUAUCAGUUUGUUGGUGAGGUAAUGGCCCACCAAGACUAUUACAGGUACGGGCUCUGAGAGGAGUAGCCCGGAGAUGGGUACUGAGACACGGACCCAGGCCCUAUGGGGCGCAGCAGGCGAGAAAACUUUGCAAUGUGCGAAAGCACGACAAGGUUAAUCCGAGUGGUUUCUGCUAAAGGAACCUUUUGACAGUCAUAGAACCACUGCUGAAUAAGGGGUGGGCAAGUUCUGGUGUCAGCCGCCGCGGUAAAACCAGCACCUCAAGUGGUCAGGAUGAUUAUUGGGCCUAAAGCAUCCGUAGCCUGCUUUGUCAGUUUUCGGUUAAAUCCAUACGCUCAACGUAUGGGCUGCCGGGAAUACUGCACAGCUAGGGAGUGGGAGAGGUAGACGGUACUCGGUAGGAAGGGGUAAAAUCCUUUGAUCUAUUGAUGACCACCUGUGGCGAAGGCGGUCUACCAGAACACGUCCGACG
This 683-nucleotide ribosomal RNA is filed under the name uncultured archaeon. Its description in RNAcentral is "bacterial SSU rRNA". It matches the Rfam family "Archaeal small subunit ribosomal RNA", at positions 7 to 696 of the family's 1478-position model. The record is from RNAcentral.